Molecule: long non-coding RNA, 1329 nt
Filed under: Capra hircus (goat)
Lineage: Eukaryota; Metazoa; Chordata; Mammalia; Artiodactyla; Bovidae
Description: lncRNA (ENSCHIG00000002523.1)
Source: RNAcentral
CACCAGGGAGACCAGAGGAGAUAAGAUUCCAAGUUCUGAGCCUUGAACAAAGGGGUUACAGAGUUUUUAGAGACCUACAACAGUGGGCAAUACUAGCUGCAAACAGGUUGCUUUAAACUAAGGGGUUUCAUGCAUGUGGGAACAGUGAUCAAGAUGGGGAGGGGGAUGCCUGACCUGGACAGGCAUGAUUAAGCAGGUUUGCAGGGACCAGACAACUGCAAAGACCAGGACAAGGGUGUCCUCCAUCACAGGAAGUUUCUGCCUCCUUGACUCUGGUGUGGUGGAUCCAAGGGAUGACGCCUGUAACUUUAUCAACAGUAGGGGUUGCAAGGAUGACCAAGUGAGGGCCUGUCCAAACUGGCUGAAGUGGUUCUGUUUGUUCAUCUUUCACCCAUAUCUCAUCUCCUGGCUGACAGUAAUGUGUGUUACACUUUCAGCUGGGCUCAGCUGAGUGGUUCUGCUGCUGGUCUCUCCCAAGAUGGCUCUUUGCAUUCAUGCCAACGGAUAUACGUGUGGUCAGAACACAGUCUACCCUCUUGGCACAUGUCAAGUAUUCAGCACGGUACUGUUAAUUCCAAUCACCACAUGGCACAGGAGGUCUCCAGGACUCACUCAUCUUGUGCACAUGAAUCUCUGUGCCUUGACCCACUCCCCAUUUCCUCCAGCCCCUGAUACCCAUACUUUGUGAUUCUGUGAAUUUGCCUUGUUUACGUUCCACACACAAGUAAGAUCAUGCAGUAUUCGUCGUUCUGUUUUUGACUUAUUUCACUUAGCAUAACAGCUUUGCCAAUAAAGAUCCAUCUAGUCAGGGUUAUGGUUUUUCCAGUAGUCAUGUAUGGAUGUGAGAGCUGGACCAUAAAGAAAGCUGGGCCCUGAAGAAUUGAUGCUUUUGAACUGUGGUGUUGGAGAAGACUCUUGAGAGUCCCUUGGACUGCAAGGAGAUCUCACCAGUCAAUCCUAGAGGAAAUCAGUCCUAGGUGUUCAUUGGAAGGACUGAUGCUAAAGCUGAAGCUCCAAUACUUUAGCCACCUGAUAAGAAGAACUGGCUCAUUUGAAAAAACCCUGAUGCUGGGAAAGAUUGAAGGCGGGAAGAGAAGAGGAUGACAGAGGAUGAGAUGGCUGGAUCGCAUCACUGACUCGAUGGGCAUGAGUGAACAAGCUCUGGGAGUUGGCGAUGGACAGGGAGGUGAUCUGGGGUGCUGCAGUCCAUGGGGUCGCAAAGACUUGGAUAUGACUGAGCAACUGAACUGAACUUAGCAUUACGUCCAGGUUCAUCUAUGUGGCUGCAAAUGUCAGAAUCUCCUUCUUUAAGGCUCAAUAAAAGUCCAC